GAUGGUUCUCAGGUAACACCCUGGAAUCAGGCUCCCUCCUCUCUGGUUCUGGGUGUGUCACCUGAGAACCGCA
Non-coding RNA from Myotis davidii, 73 nucleotides. The record is from Rfam. NCBI's taxonomy places the organism in Eukaryota, Metazoa, Chordata, Mammalia, Chiroptera, Vespertilionidae.